This 108-nucleotide small nuclear RNA is filed under the name Ailuropoda melanoleuca (giant panda). The record is from RNAcentral. Lineage: Eukaryota; Metazoa; Chordata; Mammalia; Carnivora; Ursidae.
GUGCUUCCUUCGGCAGCUCGUACACUAAAAUGGGAAUGAUACGGAGAAGAUCAGCAUGGCCCCUUGCAGGAGAAUGACAUGCAAAUUCAUGAAGUGUUCCAUAUUUUU